This 253-nucleotide ribosomal RNA is filed under the name uncultured bacterium. RNAcentral's name for it is "partial 16S ribosomal RNA". It matches the Rfam family "Bacterial small subunit ribosomal RNA", at positions 524 to 776 of the family's 1533-position model. The record is from RNAcentral.
UACGGAGGGUGCAAGCGUUAUCCGGAUUCACUGGGUUUAAAGGGUGCGUAGGUGGGCAGGUAAGUCAGUGGUGAAAUCUCCGGGCUUAACCCGGAAACUGCCAUUGAUACUAUCAGUCUUGAAUACCGUGGAGGUAAGCGGAAUAUGUCAUGUAGCGGUGAAAUGCUUAGAUAUGACAUAGAACACCAAUUGCGAAGGCAGCUGACUACGCGAAUAUUGACACUGAUGCACGAAAGCGUGGGGAUCAAACAGG